GAUCAUGGCUCAGAACGAACGCUGGCGGCAUGCCUAACACAUGCAAGUCGAACGAAGCCUUCGGGCUUAGUGGCGCACGGGUGCGUAACGCGUGGGAAUCUGCCUUGGUUCGGAAUAACAGUUAGAAAUGACUGCUAAUACCGAAUGAUGUCUUCGGACCAAAGAUUUAUCGCCCAAGGAUGAGCCCGCGUCGGAUUAGCUAGUUGGUGAGGUAAAAGGCUCACCAAGGCGACGAUCCGUAGCUGGUCUGAGAGGAUGAUCAGCCACACUGGGACUGAGACACGGCCCAGACUCCUACGGGAGGCAGCAGUGGGGAAUAUUGGACAAUGGGCGAAAGCCUGAUCCAGCAAUGCCGCGUGAGUGAUGAAGGCCUUAGGGUUGUAAAGCUCUUUUACCCGGGAUGAUAAUGACAGUACCGGGAGAAUAAGCCCCGGCUAACUCCGUG
RNAcentral lists this ribosomal RNA (445 nucleotides) under uncultured bacterium. Its description in RNAcentral is "bacterial SSU rRNA". It matches the Rfam family "Bacterial small subunit ribosomal RNA", at positions 15 to 507 of the family's 1533-position model. The record is from RNAcentral.